GCGUCUAUAGCUCAGUGGACAGAGCGCACCGCUCCGGACGGUGAGGCCGUCAGUUCAAAUCUGGCUAGACGCGCCA
This 76-nucleotide transfer RNA is filed under the name Candidatus Cloacimonadota bacterium. RNAcentral's name for it is "tRNA-Arg". It matches the Rfam family "tRNA". From Rfam's summary of the family: Transfer RNA (tRNA) molecules are approximately 80 nucleotides in length. Their secondary structure includes four short double-helical elements and three loops (D, anti-codon, and T loops). The record is from RNAcentral. Lineage: Bacteria; Pseudomonadati; Candidatus Cloacimonadota.